UACGUAGGGUGCAAGCGUUGUCCGGAAUUAUUGGGCGUAAAGAGCUCGUAGGCGGUUUGUCGCGUCUGCUGUGAAAACCCGAGGCUCAACCUCGGGCCUGCAGUGGGUACGGGCAGACUAGAGUGCGGUAGGGGAGAUUGGAAUUCCUGGUGUAGCGGUGAAAUGCGCAGAUAUCAGGAAGAACACCCGUGGCGAAGGCGGCUCUCUAGUACGGUACUGACGCUGAGACGCGAAAGCGUGGGGAGCGAACAGG
Molecule: ribosomal RNA, 253 nt
Filed under: uncultured bacterium
Lineage: Bacteria
Description: partial 16S ribosomal RNA
Rfam family: Bacterial small subunit ribosomal RNA
Source: RNAcentral